GCUACAGGCUUAACACAUGCAAGUCGAGGGGCAGCAUGGUCUUAGCUUGCUAAGGCCGAUGGCGACCGGCGCACGGGUGAGUAACACGUAUCCAACCUGCCGUCUACUCUUGGACAGCCUUCUGAAAGGAAGAUUAAUACAAGAUGGCAUCAUGAGUCCGCAUGUUCACAUGAUUAAAGGUAUUCCGGUAGACGAUGGGGAUGCGUUCCAUUAGAUAGUAGGCGGGGUAACGGCCCACCUAGUCUUCGAUGGAUAGGGGUUCUGAGAGGAAGGUCCCCCACAUUGGAACUGAGACACGGUCCAAACUCCUACGGGAGGCAGCAGUGAGGAAUAUUGGUCAAUGGGCGAGAGCCUGAACCAGCCAAGUAGCGUGAAGGAUGACUGCCCUAUGGGUUGUAAACUUCUUUUAUAAAGGAAUAAAGUCGGGUAUGGAUACCCGUUUGCAUGUACUUUAUGAAUAAGGAUCGGCUAACUCCGUGCCAGCAGCCGCGGUAAUACGGAGGAUCCGAGCGUUAUCCGGAUUUAUUGGGUUUAAAGGGAGCGUAGAUGGAUGUUUAAGUCAGUUGUGAAAGUUUGCGGCUCAACCGUAAAAUUGCAGUUGAUACUGGAUAUCUUGAGUGCAGUUGAGGUAGGCGGAAUUCGUGGUGUAACGGUGAAAUGCUUAGAUAUCACGAAGAACUCCGAUUGCGAAGGCAGCCUGCUAAGCUGCAACUGACAUUGAGGCUCGAAAGUGUGGGUAUCAAACAGGAUUAGAUACCCUGGUAGUCCACACGGUAAACGAUGAAUACUCGCUGUNUGCGAUAUACAGCAAGCGGCCAAGCGAAAGCGUUAAGUAUUCCACCUGGGGAGUACGCCGGCAACGGUGAAACUCAAAGGAAUUGACGGGGGCCCGCACAAGCGGAGGAACAUGUGGUUUAAUUCGAUGAUACGCGAGGAACCUUACCCGGGCUUAAAUUGCAGAUGAAUUACGGUGAAAGCCGUAAGCCGCAAGGCAUCUGUGAAGGUGCUGCAUGGUUGUCGUCAGCUCGUGCCGUGAGGUGUCGGCUUAAGUGCCAUAACGAGCGCAACCCUUGUUGUCAGUUACUAACAGGUUCCGCUGAGGACUCUGACAAGACUGCCAUCGUAAGAUGUGAGGAAGGUGGGGAUGACGUCAAAUCAGCACGGCCCUUACGUCCGGGGCUACACACGUGUUACAAUGGGGGGUACAGAGGGCCGCUACCACGCGAGUGGAUGCCAAUCCCCAAAACCUCUCUCAGUUCGGACUGGAGUCUGCAACCCGACUCCACGAAGCUGGAUUCGCUAGUAAUCGCGCAUCAGCCACGGCGCGGUGAAUACGUUCCCGGGCCUUGUACACACCGCCCGUCAAGCCAUGGGAGCCGGGGGUACCUGAAGUGCGUAACCGCGAGGAGCGCCCUAGGGUAAAACUGGUGACUGGG
This 1436-nucleotide ribosomal RNA is filed under the name uncultured organism. Its description in RNAcentral is "SSU rRNA". It matches the Rfam family "Bacterial small subunit ribosomal RNA". The record is from RNAcentral.